CUUUUAUGGAGAGUUUGAUCCUGGCUCAGGACGAACGCUGGCGGCGUGCCUAAUACAUGCAAGUCGAGCGCGGGAAG
RNAcentral lists this ribosomal RNA (77 nucleotides) under Halobacillus aidingensis. Its description in RNAcentral is "16S rRNA. Bacterial SSU". It matches the Rfam family "Bacterial small subunit ribosomal RNA", at positions 1 to 75 of the family's 1533-position model. Lineage: Bacteria; Bacillati; Bacillota; Bacilli; Caryophanales; Bacillaceae. The record is from RNAcentral.